This 380-nucleotide long non-coding RNA is filed under the name Sorghum bicolor (sorghum). Its description in RNAcentral is "long non-coding RNA (SBIC_LNC017473)". The record is from RNAcentral. Lineage: Eukaryota; Viridiplantae; Streptophyta; Magnoliopsida; Poales; Poaceae.
UUUUAAGUAAUUUAGUUUGUCAUUUGACCAAGUUUGACCAAAACCCGUCUUGGAUUUUGAACAAAUGUGCUUAGGAUUGGCCCAAAUUUAUCCAAAUGGAAAAAUGGUCAAUAUAUCAAAUGUAGAUCUUGAUGAUCUCUAACAACUUUUUAUUUAAUUUUUUUUUCUUUUGAAGUCAUCAAAUGGCCCAUUUGAUCAAGUUUGACCAAAGUCAAAGCAUUGGUUUUUACAAAAACACCCUUUGACCGAACCCUAGAUAGUCCCAAAUGAAAAAGUCAUGAAUACAAAGUUUGAUACAUGUCUAAUGGUCAACUUUUCGUUUGGAAAAGUUUGAACCAUUGAAUUUUGAAUUUUCAGAGAAUUCAUAGCCACGCAGCGGU